UUUUCUCCCCAAGCUAACAUUUUAAGGUCCCUCUUGUUUUUUUUUAAAUAACUAAUAGAAACCAAUUUUUUUUUGCUUUGUUAGAACAUUUGGCCUUAGAAUAAUUUAAACAAUUUAUAAAAACUUAUAUAUUUUGCUCUUUUUCUUAUUUAACAAAAAUAAAUAAAUUUUAAAAAUCAUUAGCGUGGAUGUCCCCGACCUGAUUUUUCAAUGAAUCCAUAGCAAUAUUUUCAUCAUGGAGGUUUAAUAACUUAUUUUGUAAUAGUUUACAUGUACCCUAAUAACCACUUAUUCCAACCAUACAACAACAGUUUUAAAAUGUAAUAUAAAUAACUUAAUAUGACAGCUUAAAGUUUGUCCCCAACUGUCCGCGUCAUUAGCGUGGACCAACAGUUAACAGUUUAAAAUUCCCGCGUGAUAUACCCAACCGGAAAUUACCGUUUAUAUUUAAAUUUCUAUCCCCUCCAACAAUACAGUUAAGGUAUUUUUCCUGCGCAAUAUUUAUUUAGUCUUCAUAGAUACGCGUUAAAAAGUACGUGCACGUGGUCGUGUAUUAAGCUUCGUCAUUAGAGUGGAGGAAUCAUUGAAAAAAUUGAUCGAAACAUUAUGACUGUUAACUUUAUGAUGAAAAAUGGUAAAAGUUUUUUCUGGCCAGAUAUCGCUGAUCGUCAAACUGUGACUACUAGAAAUGGAAUCUUAUGUCAGCUAGUGCAUCCACCUGAACCAGUUUCCAAUAGAUUCUACAAAAUACAAGAAUAUGACUAUAUUGAUAAUUUAUUUAAAUCUUCAGUUUAGAUGUUGUAUGGUAAAGGAAUGAAAUCAAGUGAAUGGUUUCACAUAGCUGAUGUUUCUUUUUUUAUUAUUUCUACAUUUUUUUGGGGCAAAAUGUUAAAAUGAAAUGUUCUUUUUUCUUUUAAUAUAAGUUGAUUUUUGAUGUAAACUUAGGGGUUGUUUUAUUUUUUAUCAUUAGAGU
RNAcentral lists this unclassified non-coding RNA (973 nucleotides) under Diabrotica virgifera virgifera (western corn rootworm). Its description in RNAcentral is "uncharacterized LOC126883018". The record is from RNAcentral. Lineage: Eukaryota; Metazoa; Arthropoda; Insecta; Coleoptera; Chrysomelidae.